UUUUUUUUCUGGUCACAUAUUAGCUCAUAGACUAAAGCUUUAGUUUCCCCAACCGUUUGGGGUAAAGAGCACUGGUAACCUGGCUGGGUCCUAAGACCGUCCUCUUGGGCUUGCAUCCCUCUCUGCCCCAUCACAGCACAGGGAGAACCUAGAGGUGCCGGCCCUCCUCCAGCUCUCGCGCCGCCUGGUGGACACAUUUGGUGCUGCAGCCCUUCGAGCCUGGAUUGGAUUUCGCGGUCUCUGGCGCUCUCCAGUGUUGAAAUGUCGCAACCUCACUCUCGGGAUAGUUGAGCGGUAUUUUCUGUGUGCUGCUGUGUGGCCAGGUGACCAUGAUCAUCCUUCACAAGGAAGCAGAUGAGGAGCUCGUUAGCGGAGGGGCCAGAGCAAUCAGUCUGCAUGCGUGUAAACAGGCAUCCAGUUUCCCCGGGGAUAAUGUGAGGAAGCUGACACCCUGACUUGGAGCUGGGUGGGGAGGUGACCCUACCUGGACUCAGAAAGAGGAAGAAAACAGGUCAUGGUUAAAGUGCUACACACAUUCUCACUGCUCUUGCUAAGAAGUAGAUUUUCUUGAAUAAAUAUUUCAUUUUUGUAAGCCCUUAGGUCAGUUAUCAGGAACUUUAAAUAUUUAUAUAUAAAGAUGUUUGUUAAAAUUUAUACAUAUAUAUUACUAUAAAUACACAUUCAUAAACAUAAAUAAAUGAUAAAUAUGAAUAUAUAACAUUAUUGAGUAUACAAUUUAAACAAAUAUAUUCAUGUAUUUUUAUAAGAACAUGCUUAUCAAAUAUACUAUAUAUAUAAAUACAUGACUAGGUAUAUUUAAAUAUAAAUUAAAAAGUAAUUUCCUCCACUUUUGCUGACAAGUGGGUCUGUGGACGCUUCGUUGCCAAGCCAGAGGUGGAACGCUUCCCCUCCCCAACUGGUUUCUGAAACUCGAAAGUGGACACCCACUGGAAGGUCCUAAAAAUCUUCUUCCUUUUUUUUUUUUUUUGGUCUUUUGUCUUUUUAGGGCCACAUCCGCGCGGCAUGUGGAGAUUCCCAGGCUAGUGGUCUAAUCAGAGCUGUAGCUGCCAGCCUACGCCACAGCCACAGCAAUGCUAGAUCCGAGCCACCUCUGCGACCUACACCACAACUCAUGGCAACGCCAGAUCCUUAACCCACUGAGUGAGUCCAGGGAUCGAACCCGAAACCUCAUGGUUCCUAGUUGGAUUCGUUUCCGCUGCACCAUGACAGGAACUCCUCUUCUACCUUCUCUAAAAUAAUUUUUUUUUCUGCUCAUACGCUAAUUCAUGGACUAAAACACUUGUUGCCCUGAAUUUUAGUUUUCUGAGCCUUUGGGGGUAAAGAGCACUGGUAACUUGGCUGGGUCCUAAGACCGUCCUCUUGGGCUUGCAUCCCUCUCUGCCCCAUCACAGCACAGGGAGAACCUAGAGGUACCGGCCCUCCUCCAGCUCUCGCGCCGCCUGGUGGACACUUUUGGUAUGCAGCCCCUUGAGCCUGGAUUGGAUUUCUGGGUCAAGAGGGCGAAUAUUUGCAGGGAUGUACAGCCAACCAGAGGCAAAGACACGUGCCACUGGGAGUGACCAGAGCUGGGCCACCACUGCUGAAGGCGUGGGGGGCUGGGCAGGUGUUCAGGGGCAGCUCCCCAGUGGGAUGCAGCGGAGGCAGUUCUUGCAGCAAGGAGAGGGUUAUCUGAAGGUAGCAAAGCGAGGGGACAGGAGAACUCUUGAAUAUGCCUCCUGGAAAGCAAGGGGCAGGGAUAUUUUGGAUGAGUAAUAAAGCAACAGGGCGGUCUGGGGCAUGGGGAACACAGGGAAAGGUGACAGGGAAAAGGUGCAGGCCCUGUGGUUCUGUGCUGGUGUAACCAACCUGCCUGCUGGCUUCUGCAGGUCCACAGCACCGACCUGGAGGUGGAGUUUUCACAGGGUAGAUGCCGGCACAUGCCCAGACGGAGAGUCAGUCUUAGGCGCCGCUCAAACCAGACCCAGCUGAUUCCAAGAUUCUGGAAAAUAACCUGGGCAAAUGUUUGUAUUGAUUAGGCUACGUGCAGCUUGAAGGACAGGCAGGUCUUAAAAUGAGCUUGAUUAAUGAAGGCAGGUGGAGUGGGUUUGACUCAGCAUUAUCCACAGUUUCACCAUCACAGGGACUACCCUCCUUCCCCCAAUCCUAGCUUACCAUGGGGGCAGGGGCACAGGGUGCUGAGAUCUGGGGAUGACCCAGAAAAUUAGAGAGGCGUCUUGGGCCAGAUAGAAGCUCUGGGGUCCAGGGCCCCAAGAAAGAGUCCUCAGGAGCAAAUGCUUUGGGAGUGCCAGCCUAGGGACUUGUUCUAGGGAAGCUGUGGGGGCUGCUUGGGGUGGGUGUGCUCCUCUGGUAAUUCUGCAUCAGGGGGUGUGCUGACGGUCUGCAACAGUGACCUGCCCACUGGAUGUGGGAAUUUACUGCCCAUGGGGUCACUUCUUCCCCUUGUCCCCCACCCAGGCUUGAAAGCCAGACACCCCAUUCCAGCCCCAACACAGAGGAAGACUCUCAGGGGUCCCCCUUGCGUACCCCAGGUGUGGAGUCUUUUCUAGAGAUGACAGGCCCUCAGCGCUGAGUAAGAGGAGAGAAACUGCCUGGUGGGUUGGUGGGGAGGGAUUCCUGCUCCUUUUCUUGAGUUCUAGGCCCUUCCGCACCUGGUCUGGGAUUGGCUUGGCUUUGCCACUAGGGGCCACCAUCUACUUGUACAGAAGCCCAGGGCAGGGCUCCUGCCUCUCCAGCCAGCAGGACUAGGAAGAGGGCGGCUGCCAGGCGUGAGCUGGUGCUGGGCGGGUGGCCCCGCUCCCAGGAACUGUGGAUGGAACGCGUCUCCUCCCAGCUCUGUGUUCAGCGAUGUACCUCAUCAGCCUGGAAGCGGCGCGGUGGAGUAGGUCACGGAAACUGGCAAACGCUACGCUACACAUAAGGGUCUCCCCCUGACGCUCCAACUCCGCGUUGGCUGUUCAUCUUUUAGUCACACACCACUGGGCUUGGGGACCAUUCAGGGACACCGACUGGGAAACUGAGGCUCCAGAGUUUAUUGAAAUAGCGGCAGAGCUGGGAAGGAACACUGUGCACGAAGCACUGCGCUAGGUGCCCAGAAAGCCCCUCUCCCCUGCUCAGGACAAAGAAGGAGACUCUACCCUUCCUGGCGCCUGGCAUAGACGUGGAGUUUGUCUGGCAGUACUGACAGCGGUGAGGAAGGACUGUAGUAGGAGCAUCUGGGCGGAAAAGGAAAAGCCCGAGGCUCUCCAGUGUUGAAAAGACUUAGAAAGACAGGACCUGGUGUGAUUUAGCACGGUAGCCACAAGAGGGCGCAGAAAAAAAAGUGCUUUCCUUUAGACCCGACAUCCUCUCUUCUGGGUAUUAUUAAUGGCAUUGUUUGCUAACGGCUGCCUUAGUAGUAGUUGAAAAAAAUUGGGGGAGUUCCCGUCGUGGCUCAGUGGUUAACAAAUCCGAUUAGGAAUCAUGAAGUUGCAGGUUUGAUUCCUUGGCCUCACUCAGUGGGUCAGAGAUCUGGCACUGCUGUGACCUGUGGUGUAGGCUCACGGCUGUAGCUCUGAUUCCACCCCCUGGCCUGGGAACAUCCAUAUGCCACGGGUGAGGCCCUAAAAAGCAAAAAUAAAUAAAUAAAAAUAAAAGCUUAAAAAAAAAAUGAAUGAAUGGUCCAGAAAGUAAAGAUGCAGCCAGUGUAAUCACCUGGACUCAGGCAGCACGAACUGCAAUCUGGCCGGCAGAUCACCUGGCUCCGUGCCGGAUGGCGUGGAGGGUGUGGCCAGUGCUGAUUGUAGAAGUGGCGCCAGUGUAGGGUAGCCUUUUGCACUGGCUGAGGCUGGAGCUACCACAGAAGAGGCUGCCCGGUGGCCAGAUGGGGCCUGAGCGCAUUGCUGAACUAGUCAGUCAGGGCUGCUGAGAAGAGCCUGGGCCAUCCUCAGCGCUAUUACGGACUCCUGGGCCCAAUAAAAAGGAAGAAAAGCUGGAAAACAGGGAGGUGCUUUCUGGCACUCGGGUUUUGCCGCAUUCCUCUGGCACCCUCUGCUGGUAAAAUCUGACAUUGCACCAGCUGGCAAAAUCUUGGUUUCUGGCUCAGAUGCCCUAACAUUUACCCAGAGAUCUAACCAUCUCCCCAAAAUGAGGGGACACAUGUCCCGAAGGGUUAUUGUAGCCACAGCCAACUCUGUUAAUUUCUCCUCAAAUUCAGUCACAGUUCCACUGAAUAUGUUGCUAACCAUCACCACCAACUGCUAUAUAAAGUAAUACUGAGAACAGAGUAAAUAUGAUUGAUAAAUACAAGUAGGUAUAUACACAAUAAUGAGCAAAGUAAAAAUACACUAAGUUACCACAGUUCCUUUUUCGCUAGGGAUGAAUAAAGUUGCCAGAUAAAAUACAGGAUGCUCAAAUAGCGAAAAAAUUUUAGUAUAAGUAUGUCCCAAAUAUUGCCUAGGUCGCACUUAAACUGUUGUUCGUUGUUUACCUGAUGUUCAGAUCUAAUCAUCUGUAUUUUUAUUUGCUAAAUCUGGAGACUCUAGUCACGAGGCCAUAGUUCAUAUCUAUAAUUUCUUUCUUCCUCUAUCCAUUCAAUAUUUCUCUUGUCCUCAGCUGGAUUUACCUGUUCUUUACCUGGUGGUGCUGAGGGGCUAAAUCUUUGUUCUUGGAGGCUCUGAGAACUAAAAAGUACUAAGAUGCUUAGUGCUUUGGGUUCUAGACAAAGUCCCCCCUGCCUUAGUUUUGUUGAAGUUGCCUGAUUUCUCCUUAGUAAUCAGGGCUGACCAGUCCGACCAGUAAGGCAGCCCCUCCUCUGCCCAUUGGCUUCAAAUCAAUGGAACCGUUGUGGAGUCCCCUGGUGGAGACAUUAUAUUCUAGGAAGUUAUUGCCAAAGCAGCAGAGCUGCCAGGACAGAAAGCAAAUAUUCUUUGGGCGAGUUAUUGGGAUUAAUGGUGACAAAAUCUCUUCUUACUUCUAUCCCUUGAUUCCCAGACUCAUGUAUUCUAUCUCUGGGGGGACCACACCAUAUAAUUGUCUUUGAUUCAAAGAAUAAACCUCAGCCAGUGAGACAUAAGCCCAUAUUUUAGGAUGCUAUCUCUCAACUUGGGCACAACUGAGUCUUGGGUAAGCCACUCCACUUUGCAAUAGACCACCUACUUCUGGGCAAUGGGGUAUGUAGUCAGACCAGUUCAUUCCAGGCUGCACGUCCUUUGCUGUGGAAUAAGUUCCUUGCUGAGACACAAGGCUUUGUGGGUGAGGCCAUGACGGUGGCCAAGCCAUUCCAAGAGGCCAGGGACCAUGUUAUGGGAAGAUGCAUUACUGCCAGGGAAGGCAAACCUUUUCCCUGAUGGAUGAGGUGCAAUGGAAUUGUCCUACCACCAGGUGGUUCCCUGGCCGCCCCAGGGAAUGGAGCUGCCCCUGGGGCUCCUGCUCUUGGCCGAUCAGCCACUAGGUGGCAGUGGCAGCUGGGUCAGCCUCUGUGGGGUGGGGACCCUCUUGAUGAGCUCAUAUGCAGCCUCUCAGCCUGCCACUUGCCACCAUCCAGGUGGUUGGGGAUGAGGUGGGCUGACAUUGUGGGGUGUGAUGUUCUGUCCAGCGGAUUUUUGAGCCUGCUUCUCCUGGGAGCAUUCAAGCCCUGUGGGGAUACAGGAUGGGAACAUCACAUGCAAUCCAUUACAAGGACCCUGUCCUUAAGCCUCUUCCCAUGGUCCUUGUCAUUAAUUUCCCGAUAAUGGCCCUUGAUCCUUCUGAGGCACUGUGGACAGGGUGGCUUAAACAACAGACCUUUGUUUCUCACAAUUCUGAAGCUGGGAAGCCUGCGAUCAGGGUGCCGGCAGAC
RNAcentral lists this long non-coding RNA (5836 nucleotides) under Sus scrofa (pig). RNAcentral describes it as "lncRNA (ENSSSCG00005041573.1)". Lineage: Eukaryota; Metazoa; Chordata; Mammalia; Artiodactyla; Suidae. The record is from RNAcentral.